ACUCGCUCAAGCUGCACAUGGUGCUGCUGGAACUGGAGGAUGUGGAGAAACACAUCCGUGACCUACUUGACAAGCAGGCCCAGCUGCUGGAGCGAAGAACCCCGCUGGAAACAUCUUGUACUUCCGCCUACACAUCCAAUGUAAGCAAGCAGCGUGGUAUUACCACUCCCAGCCCCUCUACGCCGUGUGUUUCUCUGUGCAGGGACUGUGCACCCAAGACUUAUCCAGCUGAGGUCUCCAUCACGCCGGCACCAACUCGCCACGGACCUUGGGUGCACCUGCAGCGAAAGGCAAGAGCCAUACCCCGGGUGAGGACCUCUCCACCUCCGAUGUUCGAGAUCCCAACCAGGAACCGCUUCGCCCCUCUCCGUCAGACCAGCCCAAACGCUGUGAUCAUUGGGGACUCCAUUGUGUAAAACGUCCUCAUCGCUUCGACAAAGGGUAAGGUGCACCCACAUUGUUUUUCUGGUGCCCGUGUCCUUGAUGUCGCUGCGCAGGUACCUGGGAUCCUGAAGAAGGACGAGUGCAUUGGAGCGGGCGUGCUAUACACGGGGGCAAACAACAUAAGGCUGCGGCAGACGGAGGUUCUGAAAAGGGACUUCGCCAGCCUGAUCAAGACGGUACAAGGCACAUCACCCACCACAAAGAUCAUCGUCUCUGGACCUCUUCCCACAUACAGACGUGGAGCUGAAAAGUUCAGUGGACUUCUUGCUUUGAAUGACUGGUUAAUUUCUUGGUGUAAUGAACAGAAUCUGCUGUUUGUUAAUAAUUGGAAUCUGUUCUGUGAGUGUCCUAGGUUGUUUCGUCCUGAUGGCCUGCACCCCAGCAGCCUCGGAGCAGAACUGCUGUCAGACAACAUCUCCAAGGCACUGCACACCAAGUGACUGCCUACCAUAAGUACAUCUUCCUACAACAACAACAAUCAUCAUAAGCAAUGUUCAAUUAAAAGUUCAACACUUGUAGUACAUACUAUAGAGACUGUGUCUGUUCCCCGAGCUAUACAAAUACAUAGAACAUUUUGGAAAGUUUGUUUUAGUAACCUAAUUAACAUAAAAUUAGGUCAUACUGAAUGCACAUCCAAUACCUUUAAUCUGAAGCUAGGACUAUUAAACAUUAGAUCUCUUGCGUCUAAGGCUGUUAUUGUUAACGAAAUCAUUACAGAUCAGGAAUGUAAUUAAAUAUGUUUAACGGAAACUUGGAUUAAAUCAAAUGAGUACAUAGCAUUAAAUGAAGCCAGUCCUCCUGGAUACAGUAAUGUACAUCAGCCUCGUUCAACUGGUAGAGGAGGAGGUGUUGGUCUCGUCCAUAGUCAAAAUCUAGGCGUCACACAAAAACCUAGUCAUAAAUUUAAUUCUUUUGAAAUUCUUUAUACCAGUAUAAAAUAUGUAGCCACAAAAAAUAAGUAAAUUCCUCUAAUUAUUAUUUACAGACCCCCAGGGCCAUAUACUGAAUUUUUUUGUGAAUUUGCAGACUGUCUCAAACCUGGUUGUGUCUGUAGAUAAAGCAUUAAUCGUCGGUUAUUUUAAUAUUCAUUUUGAUAACCCGAAAGACCCUCUGAGAAAAGCAGUUGUGUCCAUCUUAGAUUCAGUAGGGCUUAAUCAGAAUGUAAUCAGACCUACUCAUAAUGGCGGUCACACUCUUGACCUCAUAAUAACAUACGGAUUAAAUAUAUAAAAUAUUGUAAUUUUUCCACAGUCUGAAGUUGUCUCAGACCAUUAUCUUAUCUCGGUCAUAAUACGUAUUGAUCAUAAUAUUUCCACCUCGCAUCGCUACUGCGUAAAACGUACUUUCACAUCAGCUACUGCACCGAGCUUCAUAAAUAACCUCGCAGAAACAUCAAUUAAAUUAGGAUCGAUGUCUGAUCUGACAGAACUUGAUCAGGCGACUGAAUGCUUAGAGUCAACACUCCGCUACACGCUAAAGAGAGUGGCUCCACUCAAAAGAAAAUUAAUUAGAGAGAAAAAAAUAGCAUCCUGGUAUAACGAUAAAACGCGUACCUUAAAACAGACCAUUCGCCAAACAGAAGGUAAAUUGUGUCAAACCAAAUUGGUAGCAUUUCAAACAGCAUGGAAGGAGAGCCUACUGAACUAUAGAAAAUCUCUUAGUGAUGCUAGAAAAAUCUAUCUCUCCACCUUAAUAGGAGAUAACAAAAACAAUUCUAGAUUUCGUUUCAACACAGUAGCAAAAUUAACUAAGAAUAAAUCCACUACAGAAAGAAACACUCAAUCAUUACAUAGCAGUGAAGAUUUCAUGCAAUUUUUCAUUAGUAAGAUUGAAAAUAUUAGAUGUGAAAUUCAGGCUAUUAAAUUAAAACCAGACAGUAUUAUAACUAACCCUAUAGAUGAUAAUAUAGCAAUAUAAGAUCAAUGUUUAGAAUGUUUUACUCCCCUUAGAGAGACGGAACCAGCUACAUUAAUCUGUUCAGCAAAAUCAUCAACUUGCAUACUAGAUCUGUUUCUUUAAACAGAUUUGUCCUGGAGUAAUUGAACCACUUUAAAAUUAAUCAAUUCUUCCCUUAGCACUGGCUAUGUACCUAAAUCACUUAAAUUAGCAGUUAUUAAACCCCUGAUUAAAAAACCUGACCUUGACCCCUCUCAACUGUCCAGCAUUUGAGUCCAGACCUAUAUCAAAUCUCCCCUUCACCUCCAAGAUAUUAAAAAAGGUUGUAGCACAGCAGCUAUGCUCAUACUUACAUAGGAAUAACAUUCAUGAAAUGUAUCAGUCGGGGUUUAGACCUCAUCAUAGCACAGAGACAGCGCUAGUUAAAGUAGUAAACGACCUACUACUGGCCUCUGAUCAGGGUUGUGUCUUGCUGCUUGUAUUACUCGACCUUAGUGCAGCUUUUGAUACUAUAGAUCAUAUUAUUGUCCUUGAUAGAUUAGAAAAUGUUGUUGGAAUUAAGGGAACGGUCCUCUCCUGGCUCGGUAUCAGUUCGUAGAUGUAAAUGGAGACUUCUCCACGCAUACCGAGGUUAAAUUUGGUGUUCCACAAGGUUCUGUUUUAGGCCCACUGCUUUUUACUUUAUAUAUGCUACCUCUAGGUCAAAUUAUUCGUAAACAUGGAAUUAGCUUCCACUGUUAUGCUGAUGAUACACAGUUGUAUGUUUCAGCAAAGCCAGAGGACAGACAGCAGCAUUAGACGUUGGAAGAUUAUUAACUUUUAGAUUGGAAGACGUUGGAAGAUUAUUAACAGCAGAAGCGAUUAUUGACCCAGGCGAACAGUAAAUGGUAAGUGUUUCUUUCUGGAUUUUUUAGUUGAAACUAGUUUUAGCACCGAUUGUCAGAUAGAAGCUGUAACUGUGCUUCCUUGUUGCUACGAGCUGUACACUUGUUGCUAGAUUAAGCAAAUUCCGGUAUUCAGUUUUGGUUUCGGUUGGGAGUCGCUCGUUCACGCGACUACUCUAUGUUUUGCUAAUUAAAGAGGCGUGUUCAGCUGAAACACAUCAGUAUUUAUUAAUUAAGAAACGCUGAGGUGGAAGCGUCAGCCCUUGUCUUGUGAAAAGCCUUGUCUCGUGUAAAGACCUGCGCGAGUCCACCGAGCAAGGACACCGACAAGACACCACACGUGCUGCUAAGCGCAGACCGUGGCAUUCUCCCAGAAACGUACGCAACUAGGACAACCUACGCUCUCUGAAUGCGGCCUCUGCAGGUUCCAUCUCAUUCUCAGUCGGACUUUGGAACUGCCAAUCUGCUGUCAACAAGGCAGAUUUCAUUUCUGCAUUUGCAACCCACUCCAAUCUCAGCGUGCUGGCUCUGACUGAGACCUAGAUCCAUGCUGAGAACACUGCCACACCUGCUGCCCUGGCCUCCAACUUCAACUUCUCCCAUACCUCACGCCCCAACAGACGAGGGGGUGGUACAGGUCAACUGGGGAAGUUCAUCGAUGAAUUUGACAUGCUACUGUCCACCAUCCCAGAUGAUGGAACUCCCCUUCUGGUCCUUGGUGAUUUCAACAUUCAUCUAGACAAGCCACAUGCAGCUCUUUCUUGCUCUCCUUCCCACAUUCGACCUCAAGCAGUUCACCACACCAGCAACCCACAGAGCCGAACAACCUCCUGGACACCAAGCAGUCUGGCUUCAAGAGCAACCACUCCACGGAGACUGCUCUGCUUUCCGUCACUGAAGCCUUACGACUAGAUUUGAUAUUGGCCUAUAGCUGGACAAUUGAGACGGGUCAAGAUCAGGUUUUUUAAUCAAGGGUUUAAUAACUGCUAAUUUAAGUGAUUUAGGUACAUAGCCAGUGCUUAAGGAAGAAUUGAUUAUAUUUAGAAGUGGUUCAAUUAAUCCUGGACAAAUCUGUUUAAACAAACAUGUAGGUACGGGAUCUAGUAUGCAAGUUGAUGAAUUGGCUGAAGAGAAUAAUGUAGCUGGUUCGGCCUCUCUAAGCGGAGCAAAACACUCUAAACAUUGAUCUGAUAUUGCUACAUUGUCAUGUAAUGGGUUUGUUACAGUACUGUCCGGUUUUAAUUUAAUGGCCUGUAUUUCACGUCUAAUAUUUUCAACCUUAUCAAUGAAAAAUUUCAUGAAAUUUUCACUGCUAUGUAAUGAUUGAGUGUUUCUCUCUGUAGUGGUUUUAUUCCUAGUUAAUUUUGCUACUGUGUUGAAAAGGAAUCUAGAAUUGUUUUUGUUGUCUCCUAUUAAGUUGGAGAAAUAGAUUUUUCUAGCAUCGCCAAGAGAUUUCCUAUAUUUCAGUAGGCUCUCUUUCCAUGCUGUUCGAAAUAUCACCAGUUUGGUUUGACGCCAUUCACGUUCUAAUUGUCGAGUUGUCUGUUUUAAGGUUCACGUUUGAUCGUUAUACCAGGGUGCUAAUUUUUUUUCUCUAAUUAUUUUCCUUUUGAGUGGAGCCACUCUAUCUAGCGUGUAGCGGAGUGUUGACUCCAAGCUUUCAGUCGCCUGAUCGAGUUCUAUGUGAUCUGACGGUGAUCCAAAUCUAAUUGAUGUUUCUGCGAGGUUAUUUAUGAAGCUCGGUGCAGUAGCUGAUGUAUAGGUACGUUUUACGCGGUAGCAAGGCGAGGUGGAAAUAUUAUGAUCAAUGCGUAUUAUGAACGAGAUAAGAUAAUGGUCUGAGACAACUUCAGACUGCGGAAAAAUUAUAAUAUUUUCUAUACUUAGUCCGUAUGUUAUUAUGAGGUCAAGAGUGUGACCACCAUUAUAAGUAGGCCCGAUUACGUUCUGAUUAAUCCCUACUGCAUAUAAGAUGGACACAACCGCUAAUCUUAGAGGGUCUUCCAGGUUAUCAAAAUGAAUAUUAAAGUCUCAGACGAUUAAUGCUUUAUCUACAGACACAACCAGGUUUGAGACAAAGUCUGCAAAUUCACUAAGAAAUUCAGUAUAUGGCCCUGGGGGUCUGUAAAUAAUAAUUAGAGGAAUUGACUUAUUUUUUGUGG
Molecule: long non-coding RNA, 5386 nt
Organism: Ictalurus punctatus (channel catfish)
Lineage: Eukaryota; Metazoa; Chordata; Actinopteri; Siluriformes; Ictaluridae
Exons: 4
Source: RefSeq, a predicted model, not a curated record